This 252-nucleotide ribosomal RNA is filed under the name uncultured bacterium. RNAcentral describes it as "partial 16S ribosomal RNA". It matches the Rfam family "Bacterial small subunit ribosomal RNA", at positions 525 to 776 of the family's 1533-position model. The record is from RNAcentral.
ACGGAGGAUCCAAGCGUUAUCCGGAUUUAUUGGGUUUAAAGGGAGCGUAGGCGGCCUAUUAAGUCAGGGGUGAAAGACGAUGGCUCAACCAUCGCAGUGCCUUUGAUACUGAUGGGCUUGAAUAUAGUUGAGGUAGGCGGAAUGUGACAAGUAGCGGUGAAAUGCAUAGAUAUGUCACAGAACACCGAUUGCGAAGGCAGCUUACUAAGCUAUUAUUGACGCUGAGGCUCGAAAGCGUGGGGAUCAAACAGG